RNAcentral lists this ribosomal RNA (253 nucleotides) under uncultured bacterium. Its description in RNAcentral is "partial 16S ribosomal RNA". It matches the Rfam family "Bacterial small subunit ribosomal RNA", at positions 524 to 776 of the family's 1533-position model. The record is from RNAcentral.
UACAGAGGUCCCGAGCGUUGUUCGGAUUCACUGGGCGUAAAGGGUGCGUAGGUGGCAUGGCAAGUUUGAUGUGAAAGCUCAGGGCUUAACCCUGAAAUGGCAUUGAAUACUGCUGUGCUGGAGGUUUGGAGGGGGGACUGGAAUGCUCGGUGUAGCAGUGAAAUGCGUAGAGAUCGAGCGGAACACCAGUGGCGAAGGCGAGUUCCUGGACAAGACCUGACGCUGAGGCACGAAAGCCAGGGGAGCAAACAGG